RNAcentral lists this ribosomal RNA (468 nucleotides) under uncultured Syntrophomonas sp. RNAcentral describes it as "bacterial SSU rRNA". It matches the Rfam family "Bacterial small subunit ribosomal RNA", at positions 335 to 795 of the family's 1533-position model. The record is from RNAcentral. Lineage: Bacteria; Bacillati; Bacillota; Clostridia; Eubacteriales; Syntrophomonadaceae.
GGCCUACGGGUGGCUGCAGUGGGGAAUAUUGCGCAAUGGGGGAAACCCUGACGCAGCGACGCCGCGUGAGCGAUGAAGGCUUUAGGGUCGUAAAGCUCUGUUGUAAGGGAAGAAUGUCGAGAGUGAUAAUACCACUUUCGAAUGACGGUACCUUACGAGUAAGCCCCGGCUAACUACGUGCCAGCAGCCGCGGUAAGACGUAGGGGGCGAGCGUUGUCCGGAAUUACUGGGCGUAAAGAGCACGUAGGCGGAUAUUUAAGUCAGGUGUGAAAGACCGCAGCUCAACUGCGGGGGUGCACCUGAAACUGGGUAUCUUGAGGGCAGGAGAGGGAAGUGGAAUUCCUGGUGUAGCGGUGAAAUGCGUAGAAAUCAGGAGGAACACCAGUGGCGAAGGCGACUUUCUGGACUGACCCUGACGCUGAGGUGCGAAAGCGUGGGUAGCAAACAGGAUUAGAUACCCGAGUAGUC